Triticum dicoccoides is the source of this 4085-nucleotide RNA transcript. RefSeq lists it as uncharacterized. NCBI's taxonomy places the organism in Eukaryota, Viridiplantae, Streptophyta, Magnoliopsida, Poales, Poaceae. The transcript is spliced from 7 exons. The record is from RefSeq and is a predicted model, not a curated record.
AUACCUCCUGACGCCUCCUCCCCAUCUCCGAUUCCUCCUCGGCCCGCGAUUCCUUCUCUCCUCGCCGCAUCCCCGUCCCCGUGCCCUUCUCCAAACUCCGCCAUCCCCGUCCCGUACUCCCUCCCUUGGAAAAGAUCAAUUGGAGGAGUAAUUCCGGCUUCAUCCGGUGGUGGCGAUGCCGGAAAAGAUCGAUUUUUUUUCGACGGGAGGAGUAAUUCCGGCUUGAUCCGGUGGUGCCGAUGCCGGAUCCUGCGACGGCGCCGACGCGAGCCACCAAGGGCCGUGGACUCCCUCUCCGGCUGCGAUUCCGCCAAACCCUGUCGUCUCGGCGUCCCAGCGACCAUCUCCGAGGCGGAUAAAAUCGUUUCUUUCGGUAGCAGCCCGAGGAGAAGGCCCGGACAAAUCCUCGGAGCAGUAAGCCCGCCGCUCUAGCACCUUUCCUCACCGCCGUCGUCAUCAAGAUCACAAGAGCAGGACUCUUUGGACGGUGCUGAAGAUUGACCGGUUGGAGUCUAUUGAUUUGGGUAUCCAGGAGUAUCCUAUUAGUUACACGGAGAAUUGAUUGUCAAGAACUAAUUUGGCGGAUUCACGAGGGAAAUAGGUUUUCUGAAGUUUCUUGGUCCUUACUUUGCAAUUACCAGGAGAAGAAAAGUUGGCACAAUCUGUGGCCAUGAUAUUUUUAUUCAAUUGGAAAGAGUGAAAUGGUUGCAAUAGAAAUCUGCAUUUAAGUCUUCAGCUCUCAUAUUCUUUUUGUGGUUUAUUUAUUUAUACACUCAGAGAGAGGACUGGUUAGCUUAGGCCAUCGGAGUAUCUGUUUGAUUGAUGUGAUGAAUUUCAAUUUUGCCUUGGAGUAUUUAUUUAUUGAGCUUUACCUGUCUUUUUCUCAGGUUCUCUUGGUGGUCGGAAUUUUGCAAGGUGAAGUUGGUCCUAUGAUUUCUGUCAUGAAAAUUGAAAUGACAUGUUUGGAGUCUUGUUCGGAUGUCGGUGGUUUACAUGUUCCAAUUCAAGAUAUUAAAGAAGCAGUUGAACUUCCCGAGGGAAAGCUCUACUUGCAAAGCACAACAUUCUCCACUGGUAGGCAUUCGUGAACGAGAAGCUUGGCCAAACCCAGUAGGUAUGCGUGGAAUUAUUGAGCUCAGGUUUUUUGGGAUUAAGAUUCUUACACCAAAGGAUCACUAUAUACCAAGACUUCGAGGAUGAUAAGAGCGGAAGAUUUGGAUUUAAUUGUUAGGCUCGAUGUCUCAAAAUACGACAAGGAAUCAACUGAAAGAGGAACAUGUAUGAAUCGUACGGAAGAACUACUAUAUGCUAUUAAGGAAUGGAGGGAAUACGAGCUUUGAACUGAGAAUGGCGUUUUGGAGCUCGGCCUCCUUCGAGGCCGUUUUUUCUUAAAUUCAAAAUUCAUACUUUUUGGUUAAUUUUUUUUGUACAGUACACAAUGAUGGGAUGUGUGUGCGUAUAAAAUUUCAGAAUAAAACACAUUGAGAUGCGAUCUAUGCAAAAAAAAAAAUCAUGGACUUUUGGGAUGAAUAGUAGCGUGUCUUGAAAAGCCAUUGCCUUUUUUUGCACAACCUUCAUUUUAACGUAUUUCGUCCUGUAAAUUUACACAUGUGAGUUAUGCCUUCAUGUAUGCCUGUAUUUUUUGAAAUGUAAAAAUAUGUUUUUUUGUUGAAUUCUGAAUUUUUAAAAACCGUCCUUCAAAAGCAGUUUUGGCAUUGUACUUUGCUUCGAACGGCUAUCUUUUCUAUGGUCAUUGAAAGCAAAUUUGACAUGGGUAAACAAAUACGACAGCGGUGGCAUAAAAAAAGUCGCCUCAGACUAUUUAAUUCCUGAUGACAUUUUCCUCACUGCGCACACUGCGCUCAGAAUGUCGGUCUCUAGGAUAGUCAUCAUCGGCUUAGCGGAACCAUUUGUAGACGCGUACUUAAGCCGUAUAACUUGAUAUUCCCCAAUCGAGGUGGGAUUAAAGAACUGUGGAAAUGUUUCGGACGGUUCCUGCCUUUUAUUUAUUGGCUAGAAAAAAGUAGAGCGAUCGAAAUGGGCCUGGGCCAGAAAAUAACUCUGCAUUUAAAUAGUCAGAGAAAGUUAACACGAGAGCUCCUAAUGGGCGCCAGUUGGCAGUUCGUGAGCCCACGCGGCUGGGAACUGGGCUGGCCCAGGUUGCCUCGAUCGCCUCCUUCGCUCCCGUCGAUCACGGUUGGCCAGUCGACAGCUGGCCAGUUGGGAAAACCCUAUAGACGCUCGCUGCGUCCAGUUGUCGAGGCUUCACACAGAGAAGCAAGCGACUAGCGAUCAAGAUGGGCCGGCCCAGUCACGAGAUAGCACAGGCGCUACAGCGUCCCGGUUUUGGGAACCUUUUGGAGGGUUCCUGAACGGUUUUGGGAACCUUCUGGAAGGUUCUUGAACCAGGUUUUCACUGGUUUUUUCUGUUUGCUUUUUCUUUAUAGUUUUUUCUUUCUUUUCUUUUUCUUUCUUCGUUUUUCUGUUUCUUUAUUUCAUCUUUCAAUUCCUUUUUCUUUUCUUUUUAUUUUCUUUUUGUUCAUGUUUCAAGUUAUGCUUGGGAGUUUCAAAAAAUAAUCCAAUUUCAAAAUUUGUUCACCAAAUUCAAAAAAUGUUCAUGUUUACAAAUUUUGCUGCGAGUUUCCAUAAAUGUUUCCAUUUAAAAAAUUGUUCGCAAAUUGCAAAAAUGUUCAUGCUUCAAUUUUUGUUCGGGAGUUUUGAAAAAAUGUACGCAAGUUUUAAAAACUGUUCAUGUGUUCAAGUUUUGUUCGGGAGUUUCAAAAAAUGUUCCAAGUUUUAAAAAAUGUUCAAGUAUCCAAAAUUUGUUUUCGAAUUUGAAAAAUGUUCGGGUUUUGGGAGACGUUACAAAAAUGUUCCAAUUUCCAAAAAUUGUUUGCAUUUUUCGAAUUGUUGAGUUUUUACAAAUUUUGUUCUCAAUUUCUAAAAGUGUUCGCUGUUUCAUACAACCUUCAUGUUUUUUUUUCUCAAAAAUAGGGUUUCUCAAAAAUGUUCGCACUUCCAAAUUUCUUUGGAAUUUUUCAAAAUUGUUCUCUAUUUUAAAAUAUGUUCUCAAGAAACAAAAAAUGUUUGUGCUUGACAAAAUUGUUCAUGCUUCCAAAUUUGUUCAGGAUUUUUCAAAAUUGUUCUUCGUUUCAAAAUUUGUUCUCAAGGUUCAAAAAAUUGUUCGUGCUUCAAAAAAUAAUCCGCGCUUCCAAAUUUGUUCUCAAGAUUCAAAAAUCGUUCGUGCUUCAUAAAAAUGUUCACAAACUCCAAAAAUGUUUAAUUUCCGAAAAAUGUUUGGGAAAUUCAAACUUUUCGGUUUUCAUAAAAUUUGUUCACAUGUUCAAAAAAUGUUCAUGUUUCCAAAUUUGUUUACAAAUUCAAAAAAUUGUCCACAUGUUUAUUUUUUUUACUAAUUCAAAAAAUUGUUUCCUGUUUCCGAAAUUUGAUCACAUAUUCCAAAAAAUAUGUGAACAAUGAAAUUUACAAGCUCUAUGUCAAAAAAUAUUCCAAAAAUUUGUUCACAUGUUGAAAUACUGUAGGAUGAUUUACAAGCUCUACGUCGGAAAUUUCUUUUUGAGAUUGUAACAUGCAAGGACAAUGAAAUUCAGCUGCCGUUAGUAACUUCACUAACUUCUUUCCUGCAGAGACAUAUAAGUUCUCUAUUUUUUUUCUCUCCUAUGGAAACAAAAGAGAUGUUAUUUUCUUAGAGCCUGUUCUUUCAUACCGAACAGUGAAAUUAAUUUCUUCUAAUCGCGUAUAUAUUUCUUCUAAUUCUUCUUUCUAUUCUCAAGGGUCUCAUUAAUACUGUCACCUUCAAGGGAAGUGCACUGCAAGAUUCAACUCAAAGGAAUACUUCCAUGGGAAAAAUGUUUCCUUACCGAUAGAGCUAUCUUUUUUUUUCUCUUGCUGAUCUAGUGAUAGUUUCUUCCAAGACAUUCAACUGUAAACAAUGUCCGAAAACAGCUGAAACAGUUAUGAAAACGAGCAGUAAGACAUGUACAUUUUUUUUGUCUUUCAUGACGCCUUGGUGAUACUAUCAUCACUCAAUUUCAUCAAGAUGUAAGCUUACCACUUUUAUGACA